UUCCUACGGGAGGCAGCAGUGGGGAAUAUUGGACAAUGGGGGGAACCCUGAUCCAGCGACGCCGCGUGAGUGAAGAAGUAUUUCGGUAUGUAAAGCUCUAUCAGCAGGGAAGAAAGAAAUGACGGUACCUGACUAAGAAGUCCCGGCUAACUACGUGCCAGCAGCCGCGGUAAUACGUAGGGGGCAAGCGUUAUCCGGAUUUACUGGGUGUAAAGGGAGCGUAGACGGCAGCACAAGUCUGAAGUGAAAUGCCGGGGCUUAACCCCGGAACUGCUUUGGAAACUGUGCAGCUAGAGUGCAGGAGA
Molecule: ribosomal RNA, 305 nt
Filed under: uncultured bacterium
Lineage: Bacteria
Description: bacterial SSU rRNA
Rfam family: Bacterial small subunit ribosomal RNA
Source: RNAcentral